ACAGGCACUUGGCACCCUUGUGAUGUCAUACAGAGAAGUCACAGUGCAGUACCCGAGGGUCUGU
Rattus norvegicus (Norway rat) is the source of this 64-nucleotide non-coding RNA. The record is from Rfam. Lineage: Eukaryota; Metazoa; Chordata; Mammalia; Rodentia; Muridae.